This 825-nucleotide ribosomal RNA is filed under the name Saprospiraceae bacterium. RNAcentral describes it as "partial 23S ribosomal RNA". It matches the Rfam family "Bacterial large subunit ribosomal RNA", at positions 1 to 864 of the family's 2925-position model. Lineage: Bacteria; Pseudomonadati; Bacteroidota; Saprospiria; Saprospirales; Saprospiraceae. The record is from RNAcentral.
GGUGAGUGACUGAAGGGCAUCUGGUGGAUGCCUUGGCGUCGAGAGGCGAUGAAGGACGUGGUAAGCUGCGAAAAGUCCGGGGGAGGUGCUAACACCCUUUGAUCCCGGAAUAUCCGAAUGGGGAAACCCACACAGCAAUGUGUAUCCUGUACUGAAUCCAUAGGUGCAGGAGGCGAACCCGGGGAACUGAAAUAUCUCAUUACCCGGAGGAAAGGACAUCAACCGAGACUCCGUAAGUAGCGACGAGCGAAAGCGGACCAGGCCAGUUCUUUUGCCAGCUGAACCGGAAGCGUCAUGGAAAGGCGCACCAUAGAGGGUGACAGUCCCGUACGGGCAAGGAGCUGACAGAAGACUUGAGUAGGGCGGGGCACGUGAAACCCUGUCUGAACAUGGGGGGACCACCCUCCAAGCCUAAGUACUCCUCGACGACCGAUAGCGAACCAGUACCGUGAGGGAAAGGUGAAAAGUACCGCGACGAGCGGGGUGAAACAGACCCUGAAACCGGAUGCCUACAAACAGUUGGAGCCUGGGUUCUCACUUCGGUGAGAGCAGCGGGUGACAGCGUACCUUUUGUAUAAUGGGUCAGCGAGUGCGUUUGUGCAGCAAGCUUAAGCCGCUAGGCGAAGGCGCAGCGAAAGCGAGUCUUAAAAGGGCGAAUAGUUGCACGGAUGCGACCCGAAACCGGGUGAUCUAGCCAUGACCAGGUUGAAGGUGAGGUGACACUCACUGGAGGACCGAACCCACGCCCGUUGAAAAGGUCGGGGAUGAGUUGUGGCUAGGGGUGAAAGGCCAAGCAAACCCGGAGAUAGCUGGUUCUCCGCGAAA